RNAcentral lists this unclassified non-coding RNA (377 nucleotides) under uncultured Gammaproteobacteria bacterium. Its description in RNAcentral is "contains 16S-23S intergenic spacer region". Lineage: Bacteria; Pseudomonadati; Pseudomonadota; Gammaproteobacteria. The record is from RNAcentral.
UCCGGCUUAACGCCGGCAGUCUCCCUAGAGUGCCCAACUGAAUGGUGGCAACUAAGGACGAGGGUUGCGCUCGUUGCGGGACUUAACCCAACACCUCACGGCACGAGCUGACGACAGCCAUGCAGCACCUGUGUUACGGCUCCCUUUCGGGCACCCCUCCAUCUCUGGAGGGUUCCGUACAUGUCAAGGGUAGGUAAGGUUUUUCGCGUUGCAUCGAAUUAAUCCACAUAAUCCACCGCUUGUGCGGGUCCCCGUCAAUUCCUUUGAGUUUUAACCUUGCGGCCGUACUCCCCAGGCGGUGGGCUUAAUGCGUUAGCUGCGACACCGAAGGGCAAGCCCCCCGACAUCUAGCCCACAUCGUUUAGGGCGUGGACUAC